RNAcentral lists this long non-coding RNA (985 nucleotides) under Homo sapiens (human). Its description in RNAcentral is "HSALNT0025421". Lineage: Eukaryota; Metazoa; Chordata; Mammalia; Primates; Hominidae. The record is from RNAcentral.
CAGCAACGCAAUUUACUUCUGCAGAAGCGUGCUGCUCGCAUCAAUCACGAUCGCAAGAGCACACUGAACAGAGGAAAGCAGGGGUUUUUAUUCCUAACGCAGUCCCUACCUCUGGCAUGGGCUGGGGUCAGACCGCACGAUCUAAACUGACCCGGUUGGCUAUUUGUGAAUAUUUUCCCAAAUAAGGAAGGGGGAAGGGGGAUGUGAGUUACAAUGGUGGGACUUGCGGUUUCCAAGGGAGAAAUGGGUGCAGAGCAGGUAACCAAGGGAACAGAUGUGAGUUAUUGAUUAGAACUGACGGAAGGUUGUUUACAGUAACUAAGGGCAAGGAGGCAUGGAGAACAAGAAAGUUGAGUUCGAAAACAAAAAAACAAGAAAGUUAACAUGCCAAACCUUGGAAGAGAAACUGACUGUAUCUGACAGCUUUAUACAUUUUAGGGAAACAGGAGACAUCAAUCAACAUAUGUAAGAUGAACACUGGUUUGAUCCGGGACAACCUGAAGCAAAAGCGGGUCAACUCGAAGCCAGGAGGGGGCUUCCAGGUCACAGAAAUGGGGUCUCCCUCAGUUGCCCAGGCUGGUCUCUGGUGCCCAACGCCGGGCUCCCGGUAAUCUCUACAAAUAAUCCAGUGAAGGAAUGCCAGAGAGUGGAAAGUGGAGGAUGACUGACAAAGGACGCCCGAGUACGUUUUCACUUCAAGCUCUACAGGUAAGUAGGGCGCUCGGAAAAUUCCAGGGUAACCUCCGGAAACUAUGGGUCAGGCUGAGAGUAAGUUUGCUAAUUACUGAAGCCUUGUCCGGCAGUUACUGCGCCGCGGAGGGGUAAUUGUGAGUACCCAAAAUCUCCCAUCUUUGUUCUAUCUGGUAAAAAAGUAUUCUCUUUGGUUCCCGGAAUAUGGAACCAUGAAUGUAAAAGACUGGGACAAGGUCGGAUCAGACUUAAAACGAGCACAACAAGAGGGCCACGAUAUUCCCUUCUUGCUUGG